UCCAAGCUCCACCCAUUGUAAGCCCCCACCACCACCUUGGAAACCGCUCCCCUGAGGUGCAGCCUCCCCUUAACCUCUUGGCAGAAAAGAACAAAAGAAUUUGGUUGGAACCGCUCUACAGAGAAUCAAAGAAAUCAGCCUGAAUUAUCUGAUCUUAACUGAAUUUUCAAAAGACUAUCUAAUACCUUUUAAUUGCCACAAGCCAGCUUGUCCUGUUCCAGCCGCCUGGCAGUACAGAUGAUAGAUAAUCCGUCUGAAAAAGGCUUCCUCAGGGCAGUGACAUCUUUCCAGGUUGAACGGGAUUUCUUCACAGUGCAGGGAGAAUCUGAAGAUCCUUCCCAAUUUCUUGUAAACGAAUACAGUUCCUUCA
Long non-coding RNA from Symphalangus syndactylus (siamang), 370 nucleotides. RefSeq lists it as uncharacterized. The record is from RefSeq and is a predicted model, not a curated record. NCBI's taxonomy places the organism in Eukaryota, Metazoa, Chordata, Mammalia, Primates, Hylobatidae.